This 702-nucleotide long non-coding RNA is filed under the name Pan troglodytes (chimpanzee). RNAcentral describes it as "lincRNA". Lineage: Eukaryota; Metazoa; Chordata; Mammalia; Primates; Hominidae. The record is from RNAcentral.
AAUACUAAAUCAGGAUCAGGACAACCAUUUGAACUAAGUAAACUGCCUAACGUAUCUACAUCCAAAUCUGUGGGUCUCUUUUGCUUCUGGGCUACUAACUGGCAAAAGUCCUGAGCAGCUCUUACAAUAUCUGCUUUUCCAUCUUCCAGAGACAGCACCUUCACUGCCAAAUGGCAAUUUGAAACUUGAUCAUCUUUGUCAUUACUAUUUGCAAAUUCUGGUGAGUAUUUUGAACAAUCUAGGCCCAGAAGUUCUUGCUGUUGUUUUAAAAUUUCAUCCAUCAAUCUGGAAUUAUUUCUUUUGAAAAUACCUUGAUCAUCUUUGUCAUUACUAUUUGCAAAUUCUGGUGAGUAUUCUUGGUGGUCGUAGACGCUAAUGUAGGAGAUGCCCACGGCCAUACACCACACCACUAGGCUCGCGAUGUCCGAGAAGCUGGGUUCCCGCUCCACCUCGGUGAUCACCAGGCCCAUAUGCACAGGCAGCUUCUCCAAGGAACGACCGUCCGCGCGCCAGCGCAUCCGGUGGUGUGCGGCUGCCAGGCACGACCCCCCGCGCGGGUGCCGGUGGUGACGGCGGUUCCUGCCGACUGCCGGGGGCUUGCGGAGCGUGAAGCCGAGCGGCGCUAGGACCGCGGCAGAGGCGGCGCGGCAGCAGCGCCGCCAGAUCCAGUUCCAGGUGCCGAACCGAACGCGGAGCCAGGAG